This 8552-nucleotide long non-coding RNA is filed under the name Zea mays. RNAcentral's name for it is "long non-coding RNA (ZMAY_LNC004702)". The record is from RNAcentral. Lineage: Eukaryota; Viridiplantae; Streptophyta; Magnoliopsida; Poales; Poaceae.
CAGCAGCAGGGCAGGCCGCGCGCCCUUCCCCUCCCUACAGCCAUGGCCCAUGGCCAUCUCCUACCUCCAGCCCCUGCCCUCCCCAUGCUAGCCAGCCCCGGCCUCCCCUGCAGCGAGCAAGCGCAGCCCGUCGGCAAGCCCUACUAGUCUGCAGCCUGGCCAGGCAAAGACCCAUGCGUCGCGGCCAGCCCAGCAUCCCCAGCAAGCACCAUGGCCGAGCCCCUGCUGUUCACGUGAGGGAGGUUGAAGAUGACCCUUGUCUCUAUGACGAGUGGGCCCAGGUGACUAGUUCAGGCGUGCACAAAUUUGCAGAUUUUUGUGUGGUUUUCCAUAAUUCAUAUCUCGAGUUUUAGAGCCCCUAAAAUCGUGAAACUUGUUUUGUUGUCUUCUUUAUGAAAUGCUCUAACUAUUGGAUCUAUAUUUUGAUAUGUUUUAGUGGAAAAGUUUUGCUGUAUAAAUUCGUAUUUAAAAACUGGUUUAGAGAAUAAACGAACUUGCUUCUCUCCAUAAUUUUAUUUAUAAAAAUCCAAAAAUGAUGAAACCUGUUUUGUUAGUUAGAUGUUGUCAUAUUCCAUCAAGGAAAAAUAGAAAACUCAUAUGUUGUUCACUGUUUUCUUGGUGUGCUAAUUAAAUCAUGUUAAAUAGGAAAAAGAAGAUUUAUUUGCUUAUUAUUUUUGGAUCUGUAGCUUUAGUGCUCCAAUUGGGUUGAAAUUUUUACAGUAUACUCUUGGUGUGAUGCUUGAUGACUGGUAAACAUUUCAUGAAUUAUUGUGCAUGUAUGAUUAAGUUAGUGAUUUAACUUGUUUAAUGCACCUUAAGUAGUUUUAAAUGAUUUAAAAAUAAUGUAUAGAUGCAAAAAUGUAAAAUGGUGUUCCACUGUCCUUGCAUGAUAUUAUAGUAGCCUAAUAAAACUUAAUAUGGUCAUGAAUCCACAGAAAAUAAUUAGUUUUAGAUUUAACUUGCUCUCACAUGCUUUAUUGCAUUGACAAUUUAUUAUUUUUGUAUUAAAUAAAAUAUAAAACCUGGGCAUGUCAAAUUUAUAUAUUAGUCAUGAUUUGUUAUUAUCUAUGCCUCAUAAAAAUUUCAGCUCCAAAUUAGAUAGUUUCAUAUGUUCCUAAAUGACACAUGUUUUAUAAUUAUAAGAAGAAUUAGAGACAAGUUAGAAGUAAACAAAAGUGUGCAUGUUUCUUGAAAUGCUUAAGUGUCUCGGGUGCACGCCACCAUAUGGUUGUAUGUGAGACAAGGUUAUGCGCAUGAUGAGUUUAGUAAAAAUCCAUCGGUGUCACUAGUGUUAAGUUGAGAUUUAUUUGCGCAUGGAAAGUAAUCGUCUGUUUAAUACUUAGAACUCUUUGUCAAUAGUAGAAAUUGUUUUGGCUUAUGUAGAGAGGUGAUAACAUGCUGUAAGUAGCCAUCACUUCCUCUAUAAUUAUAAGUCGAGUCUAUAUGCGUUAGGCGUUCCUUAAAUUGUGCUUCACAAAUAAGUGUAUGAUUGUGUUUAUGACUUGAAUAGAUGUCUUCGAGUGAACUAAUAGGUUCCUAAGGCAAUUAUGUGUAAGGUGUUUAUAGUGACGCUUUAUCCCGAAAGGUGUUAAGUCUGCGCAUAAAUAAGAGAUAAGUGUAUUUUGUGUAGUGUGGAUUGAUUUUGAGUGCAUGUGUCGCAAGAAAAGAAUUAGUGCACAUAUAGGCGAUGAAUGGGUGUGAUGAAAUGGUGACAUGCCUUUGUAGUCAUCAUGUCGUCGGUUGGUGACCUAACUGAAGGUCGUAGAAAAAGGUCGAUUAUCUAUGUGUUAUUAUUGUCACCUUGCGGUUCUGCAUGAACUGCAAUGUGAAGUAGUAGGCUCUCUAUGUGAUGCUAGAUGUCUAGGUAGACUUUCGUGAAUUGUGGUGCUCGGACCGUCGAGAUGAAGGUUAAGUCGGUCGAUGCUGAUUAAGUAGUUAAAAUGAUUAAUGGAACAAUCAUGGGGUUAAAACUAGAAACUAGUGUUCUUGCACCCGUUUGAGAUGUUGUAGCCAAAUUGCGUAUGGUUAUGGUCGCGGAUGAAAAGUAGUAGUGCUCAUGUGAUGUCUAAUUUAAAACGCAAAUUGUUGGGUGAUUAUCGUGAAGAAUGCGUUGUUAAUUGGUUGUAGUAAUUUUAGUGCACUAAUGACUUGAAUAAAAUUUAUAAGUCGAAUUGUUGGUUCUAAAUUGAUUGUCUUAACUCGAACAAAUAGUAAAGUGUUAGAAUAAUUCAAGUAUCUAGAACGCGGCAAUUCUUGAAUUGUAUAGGAGCUGAAAUUUAUUAAUUGCUGUUUUGGACUGCACGCAGUGAUUUCCCCGUGUUGUAUGUUUGAUGAACUAAAUUGUGUUUUCUGUAGAUAUGUGCUAUAGAAAAGUGGUAGAUAACUUUAUUAUCUUGAUGGUGUUAAAAUUUGACAGCCAUAGGUCUGACGGUUUAGGAGUUAUGCUUUUUACAAAUUCAGUAACUGAAUCUGUCCAAAUUCUGUACAGAUUUCAGAAACUGUAUUGUUUGCUUAAUUUAAUGUUACAAUCAGUUCAUGGUCGUUAUAAGAAAGUUGUAGAUGCUUUUCUUAUCUUGCUUGUGUUAAAAUUUCAUAACCACAGGCCUGACAGAUUAAGAGUUAUGAAUUUUACAAACUACUUGCUGUGUUCUGUCCACCGUCAGAACAGAUUUCGAAAACUGUGCUGUUUGAUUUAAUUAAACAUUGAAUCACUUCUUAGUGAUUAUAAAAGUUAUGUAGUGCUUUUGCUGAGAUUUCCAAAAAGUCUUGGAUCACUCUUUUUGGUGGUCUGAAGAUUAAGUUAUGAAUGUUUAAAGUGAGAAGACUGAAUCUGUCCAGUUCUGGACAGCAACGUCUUAUAGUGUCUUUUAUCCUUAAUUAAAUACUGAAUCACCUUGAGAUGAUUAUAAAUGAUGUGUGGACAAUUUUAUUAUCUUUCCAGAAAGUCUAGGAUCAAUUUAUUUGGAUGUCUGAAUCUUUAGUUGUGAAUUUUGGAUGUGGCAAUUCUGAAUCUGUCCAAAUCUGGACAGAGCUGUUGUGUUAGCACUGUUUGACCUUGCUAAGUGUUGAAUCAUGUUAAGAUGAUAAUACCAAAGUUGUAAAGCACUUUUCAAGCUUUCUAGAAAGUCCUAGUUUACUAUUUUUGGUUAAAUAUCUUGUGAGUUAUGACUGAAACAAGUGGCUGUUGUAGUGUUGUCCAAAAAUUCUGCUAGUGCGCUUUUGAUUGUUUAGUUCACCCUUGUCGCUAAAAAUGUUUGGUUUGCUCUUAAGUAAUGUAGACUUGCCAUGGUUAAGCUAGAGAUGACAUGUGUGUUUUGUUUUAUAUGUUCCUUUCUCUAGUGAUUGCGAUAUAGGAGUUCUGUAGUUAGUGAUGCCUAUGUCGUAUCCAAGCUUACGUUGUCUUGAUUGGACUUGUGUGGUCGGUGAUGCUUUUGCGCGAUCAAUAGGAGAACUAAUGAAAAGCCGUAUCCAAACAAAUAAAAUGCGCGUACCUGUAAUGUCAUAGUUGUGUUGCGUAAAUAAAUAAAAUGUUGUUGUCUUUUUAAAGGUGUUAAUAUUGGACGACGAUAAAGCGUAGAUAACUAAAACUAACGUGUGUUGUCUACGGUGUCGUACAAUUAAAUGUUAGUUCACUACUGUGCAUUUGAAUAUCUUGUGCUACUUUCAUUAUAUUCAUACGUAUGCAUAUUGCAUCUCAUUUAGGACCGAGAGAUGAUCGUGCAAGUGAUGUGGUGCCACCCACAAGAUGCAGUUGGUGGACGACCCAAGGAAGGAUGGACAUAACCAGUGGAUGCUCGCCAAGCGAGUACCCCCAGCAAACACUAUCUAAGUGUCAAUUAAAGGCAAGCCCCGGUUUUAUGCAUAACCUGUUAUUUAUGCUAUUUUACUACACUUAUUGAUUGUAGGAUUGAAUGUGCACUUAAGUGUAGGAGUUGUGUGAAACCCUAGUUGCAUGAUCUCAGGAAUCCUGUUGAGAUGAAUACUAGUAUGCUAGGUCGAGUAGCUGCUUUAUUAAUUAGGAUCUCGGUAGAAGUCGAGUGAUUUUUCUAGCACUCGCGCGAGGUCAGGAAUUGGCUGUAUCCACUUUCUUAUCAUAUUGAUGUUGGUUUGUGGGCAACAAUCCAUGGGGAUUGGUUGUCUAUGGGAUGAAAAUUGGAAUAAGGAUUAAGGUGUGGUACCGUGUGUCAAGCGUUUGAACGUACUAAACACAUACCGAGAAAUAUGGUAAAUCGGUAAGCCUAGUACCUGAUUGAACCUGGCAGUAGACUUUGCCCCUCACGAACCUGAGACGUGGUCUCCCAUUCCGGUUAUGGUGGGUACAAGUGCGGUCACUGCACGACGGCAGUCGGGGUCAGUGAGGCAUUGUACGCCAAGGCGGUGAGCCCUGAUCUGCUGACUGGGAAUCGAUGGGGACGGUUGAUGUGUGUGGGGACGGAGUGCCCCUGCAUGUCGUGUGUUUAGGUUUACCUUGCAAGGCUUAAAAACUCGAUUCGAAUCGUCUGCUUCUCGCAGCUAAUGAGACUGCUUGAUCCAUGCUGCUACAUUGAGUAAUAAGUGGAAAUGAGGUGACUGGCAAAAUGAUGUUGAUUGAUAAAAUGUUUGAUACCAUGUAUGAAUAGCUAGGUACACAUCUAGUAAAAAGGAUCAUACUAAAACUUGAAAAGCUAAAACUUGAUUUUAGACUCAGCUAGUGCUUUUGGCAAACCAAACCCCUCAGCCAAACAGCUGCAUGUCUAGAGGUAGAGGAGUAGACUCCUCACACCGGGUAAGUCUAGCUGAGUAUUAGCAUACUCAGCCUUGCUUGUGGCACCAUUUUUGCAGGUACUCCUUAGGAUGAUUGGUUGCUGGUGUGACUUGGCCUCCAUCCCUGCCACCGGGAUAGACGGUCGAGUGGGUUACUGCUCCCGCAGGAGAGGACCAGGAGGAGUAGCGUGGCCAUGCUUCGCCACGUUAUUCGGUUCUUCUCCGUUAGUUAUUUCCGCUGCAUUAAAAUUUAUGGUUAUCAUUCCUGAAACUCCGAUAAUGUAAUCACUAAUGAUACUUAUUAAAUUUGUGGUAUUAUGUUUUAUUGUAUUUCUCUGUGCCUCACCUUCGUGUGAGCUAGUGGUAUUCGAUCCUGGAUAAGUGGCUUUAUCGGACUAGAUCCGAGGGACUGGCGUUUUAUUCCGGUUUAAGUGUGGUCUAGCCUCUAAGGCGGGACUUAGACACUUAAGUUGGAAUAAUUCGGACGGUUCCGCCACAGCUGGUAUCGGAGCGAAUACCAGUACAGAGAAGUCAAUAAGUCAUGAUUACCAACCUUUUCUAAAGUAAAACUUGCUAGAAACCAAUGUUGGAUAGAUCGUCAGGACGAUAAGGAUAGACCUAGGACGUGAAGCCUUAGGAAAUAGAUGGGUAGCUAGGUGGCUAAUUAUAUAGGCCAUAAGGCUACUACUACUAUUAAUAGGGAUGUUGUAGAAGCACCCGAAAAAUUAGUUAGGUCUGAGAAGACGACUAGAAUGAGCAUGCAUCAUGAUUGUCGCAUUAUAAUUGUCUCUUGUGCACCAACAUGCUUCUCUCACCUUUAUUCCAAUAAUAAGAACUUUUGAAUAAUGCGCUGUACUGCUAUGUUAUGGAAACUAUAAGAAAUGUUUUACCUCAUGUCAGAUUAGGAAGUCUUGCUAGGUUGUCUUAUGUGUUUCUCUUGCCUUGCUAUCUAGGUGGUAUUGUAAAUGUUCAACCUUUUUUUCAAAAAAAAAUUGUUGCUUGUUCUGUUCAUAAAAAGACCCCCACCCAAACAACCUUGAGUUUAGCAAGUGAAGCCUCAAAAAAAUAUGCUUGUGUGGGUGUUUUCUAACCUUUGUGUGUUUUACACUUGAAAUUGCACCUGCACAACUUAUAGACCACCACAACUUGACCGCUAGACCAACCCAAGUCUCCUUGUGCACUUGUUACGUCAAAAAAAAAUUGUUGUUUGGUGUCUAGUUGCGCAAACCCUAUCAAGGCCAUGUUCUUUCCGUAAAUCCUUAAUCCAAAACUUCAUAGCAUUUCUGUUGAUCAUCCUAGCUGAUCCUAUUUGCCUACCUCUCCUUUCGCUUGGAUCUGGUAAUCUUUCUCCUUGUGAAUCAUGUUGUGGCUUUAUCAUCCCAAUCUUUGAAUCCUUUAAUGAUUCUGCCCUAUUAUCUGGUUAUCUGCUAUAACCCGUUCUCAAGUAUCGAAUGUUGAUCUCGCCUAAAUCUCUCAUUUCUGAUCAUUCUCAUACCCCCUUCUCUGAGGAUCAUGACGUUGUUUUAUCGAUUUUAUCUCUAAGCAGUGGAUCCAUUUGGUUCAAUGGAUUAUGCUAUUGACUUUAGUUCUCUCAUGUCUCUAAGAGCUUAUCAAUCUUGAUCUCAUGGUUGGUUCCUCCUUAUAUUAAAUAUCGUAUCAAUCUUUGGCUGAUAACCCCUGUGAUGAUCAUAAAAUAGUUCUCUGAGUUGAAGAAAAUUCUCAUGUGAUGCUCUUUUGCUAACAAUCUUGCUUCAACUCUGGUCACAUUCUUGUUUUCUGAGCCAUACUCUCAUGGGCUCCAACUAUCAGUGCUAUGUGAAUUUCUUAUUGGUUACGUUUGGUAAUGGUGUCAUGACUAACGACUGAUGGUGCCGCGACGAAACCGAGAGCCUACUAUGGUGCACACAUAGUUGAGCUGCUCGGCACGCGCCGGUAUCACGGUUAAUAGUCAUGGUCCAUUACGAGACUAUACUGAUGUGCUAUCUUUUGUGGAUAUUCUCUCAAAGUGAUCGCUGCAUUUUGUCUCAAUAUGUCGCGAUGUUCCACCCAAAUCUAUCUUCAGUAUCUUGUCAGAUCCCAUCUCAUGAAUUUGCAUCUAUCUCCAGCCGAGGAGUUACAUGCUUCUCCACCCUUGAAGAUCCUCAUUCGAAUCUCGAGACGAGAUUCUUUUAAGGGGGGAAGGCUGUGACACCCCAGGUGUCAGUUUCGUGUUAUGUCGGGAGAUUUAUCCUAAUCUCGGAUGCUCCGUGAAAAUUUCUAUUUCUCGAUCGCAUCUAUCUCCAUUUAUCAAGUUACUCAUGAACGAUUCACCAAAUUUGGAAUUAUUCGAUCUCAAGAACAGCCAAAUUUGGAGCCUAUUAAAACUUUUGUUUCUCGGAGCAAACACAAAUUCGAAAGUCAAUAUCAUCUCGCAACUCCCGUCCAGACUCAUUUAUUCGGACUCUCGAUAGUUGUUAUAUUAUCCAAUCGGUGUCCGAAUCCUCUUUCUCGAUAGUCGGUCUACGUCCAAAUACUUAAUCUGAAUCCGCAUUCUCCAGCGGAAUCUCUGUUGUGCCAAUCUCUAAUUAAUUCUUAUGCAAAUCGACUUGUUUCUCUAUAUCACAAUUCCUCUCUAUCUAUCAAGCGUAUUUUAAAAAAUUCUAGAAGUUUAAAGCCAAUACUCACAUGAAAAGAUAAAUCCUAUACACGCUUGAAACGGCUCGUCUGAACAAAUGCAAAUUUUGAAAUUCAACAAAACCUUGUCAUCUUGCUCAAACAACUCUAUAUCAACUCUACAAUAAAAGUUAUUAAGGGUUCAUGUAGAGAAAAUGCCAAGAAAAUAUCGAGAAAAUACUUCAAUUGCUUUAAAAAUAUAAAUUGAAGCUUUAUAACUAUACUACUUUGACCAAAGUGAAACUUUAAUUUAUAUUCGAGAUAUGAGGUUUGACCUUUAAUAAAAGUUGCAGAACAUGUGAUAUACAACAAAUGUUAUAAUUAAACCAAGCCUUGAUUCAAUACCUAAUUGUCCCAAAUGGUGCCCUCAAUUUGGAUUAAAAAUCUGAUUCAGGACUUGAAUUUUCCUAAGUCUGAAAUCAAUGCCGAUCGGGUUGACAUCUCGCGUUCUCUAAAUUUUGCUAAGCAACUCGAGUUUCACCAAAUAUAAAAGUUGUUAAUAACUAAAAGGGGCACAACAUAUUAAAAGAUGGCCUUCAUCCGACCCCAUUUGACAAGGUUUGACAUCCAUUCUUUAGGUAAAAUUUACCACCUGACAGCACCAACUUGGAAGCUAAAUAUCUCCCAAACCGUGGUUCAAAUGGCCGAGCAUCCUCUAUCGAUUUCGAAGAGCAUUGUGCGGGAAGCAACUUUGCUACAGUGUCCAAGAUCCGGUUCUAAACAGAAGGCGCCAAAAACUGCUGCCCAACGUCGCUACAGUGAUGUCUGCCACCUGUUUGUUGCUUUGCUUCUAAGGAAAUCAAGCUCUGCAGCCUUGCCGCCCAUGUCCUCCAAUAGAUGAAGCUCGCCCCUUCUAUUUAUACACCCACCCUCUCCCUCUCUUCUCCUACACGCCACCCCCUUCUCCUCUGUUUGAAUGCAGCAGCAGGGCAGGCCGCGCGCCCUUCCCCUCCCUACAGCCAUGGCCCAUGGCCAUCUCCUACCUCCAGCCCCUGCCCUCCCCCUGCUAGCCAGCCCCGGCCUCCCCUGCAGCGAGCAAGCGCAGCCCGUCGGCAAGCCCUAGUAGUCUGCAGCCUGGCCAGGCAAAGACCCAUGCGUCGCGGCCAGCCCAGCAUCCCCAGCAAGCACCAUGGCCGAGCCCCUGCUGUUCACGUGAG